This 220-nucleotide ribosomal RNA is filed under the name uncultured bacterium. Its description in RNAcentral is "partial 16S ribosomal RNA". It matches the Rfam family "Bacterial small subunit ribosomal RNA", at positions 118 to 332 of the family's 1533-position model. The record is from RNAcentral.
UGAGCAACGUACCGAUGUGUGGGGGAUAGCUGGCCUAACGGCCAGGUAAUACCGCAUAUGAUGAUCGGCCCGCAUGGGCCGCUCAUCAAACUCCUUAGACGAGGCAUAUCGAGGGGCUCGCGGCCUAUCAGCUAGUUGGCGAGGUCACGGCUCACCAAGGCGACGACGGGUAGCUGGUCUGAGAGGAUGGCCAGCCACAGUUGGGACUGAGAAACCGGCA